UAGGGAAUCUUCCGCAAUGGACGAAAGUCUGACGGAGCAACGCCGCGUGAGUGAUGAAGGUUUUCGGAUCGUAAAACUCUGUUGUUAGGGAAGAACAAGUACCGGAGUAACUGCCGGUACCUUGACGGUACCUAACCAGAAAGCCACGGCUAACUACGUGCCAGCAGCCGCGGUAAUACGUAGGUGGCAAGCGUUGUCCGGAAUUAUUGGGCGUAAAGCGCGCGCAGGCGGUCUUUUAAGUCUGAUGUGAAAGCCCCCGGCUCAACCGGGGAGGGUCAUUGGAAACUGGGAGACUUGAGUGCAGAAGAGAAGAGCGGAAUUCCACGUGUAGCGGUGAAAUGCGUAGAGAUGUGGAGGAACACCAGUGGCGAAGGCGGCUCUUUGGUCUGUAACUGACGCUGAGGCGCGAAAGCGUGGGGAGCAAACAG
This 428-nucleotide ribosomal RNA is filed under the name uncultured bacterium. Its description in RNAcentral is "bacterial SSU rRNA". It matches the Rfam family "Bacterial small subunit ribosomal RNA", at positions 355 to 775 of the family's 1533-position model. The record is from RNAcentral.